Molecule: long non-coding RNA, 2242 nt
Organism: Struthio camelus australis
Lineage: Eukaryota; Metazoa; Chordata; Aves; Struthioniformes; Struthionidae
Source: Ensembl
CACGCGGCAGGGUGGGGCCCGGCAAAGUGAUUUGCUGGAGCCAGUAAGGCAGGCUGUAUUCAAAGCUCAGGAUUAAAACAGAAAUGUAUUCGAGAGCGGUUUUGAGACAACUGCGCGUUCUACUGCAGGAAAGCUCCGCGCAUGGUGGCAUCUUCUAAAGGUGCCCUGAGAACGGAAAGCCCUCGCAAAUUGCUAAGUUUUACAUUUAAAAGGUAAGCAAAGCAGCAAGAAGCCAGAUACACUUCUCCACAAAACUCUCUUUGUUCUUUCGACAGGUCUUUUAGCUGUGAAAGGUAAUGGAUUCUUUGUAAACACCUCGGCAGAGCUUGCUGCUAAACCUCGGAGAGGCAGAGAGCACAGCUGUGCGAGAGAAUUACCCGGUGCUCGCAUUAACCAAGUCCUUCUGCGUUUAAAACAUCAUUUAUACAUUUUUCACGGCUGUUAAAGAUUCAGACUACAAAGGCAACAUGAGCCAGGUAAGUGUCUAACUGAAAUGAUUUACAGGCCAAUGUUGCACAAUAAAUCCAAGUAACACGUAACAAAAGGCAUCUAUAAACCACAAGGUACUUAACUAAUUUUCUUUCAUACACAAAAGCAAGUUUAGGUCAAACAUUGAUAAAAAAACUUAGGGGAUGAAGUAAAAAACUUAGUUGAGAUGUCAGGGAGGGUUCAAGGGAUUUUUUCAUGUUUCUUUAUAAGCACAAGUUAAUAAAGAUUUUCAGAAAUACCACUCUUAAUCACCACUAUUGCUUGAGGAGGUGCCUGCAGCGUGAAGACGACAAGUUCGGGCAAAAUAAGGCAAGCCUUUCUGCCAACUCAACAGAAGGAAAAGAAGCCAUUUCUGAAACUCCUCCCUGGGAUUUACAGACAUCCUUAGGAUUGAAAAGUCUUUCCAGAAGAAGGGGACAGAGAAGGGGACAGAGAAUCAGAGAAAAGCUCUUAGAUCUCUUCUCUUCACCUUUUCUUCUAUUCUACUGCUUCACCAUCUCAGUUCAAGAAUAUUGAUACAGAAUAAGGCUUUACACCUGGGCUGAAAUAAUGCACCAUCUGUAGGUCUGGGAAUCACACUGAUGCAACUGGUUUGCCAAAGAGCAACCUAGGAACUAUGCCAAUAUUCUGGUGCAAGUGGAAGAAACUCAAGAGAUCUGAAGAACAUAAAGAACUAUUACAACAUGUGUAUAAGUGUAUACAUCCAGGAAGACAGGAAGCUUUCCCUCCCCCCAGUAUUCACUCAUGUUAGGCUACUACAAUUAGAAGUGGUUUCAGAAGUGUUAUUUACACUUUGUGGUCUUGAGUAAAGUCAUGCCAAUUCCCUUCUUAAAAUCGGAAACCUUGCCAAAUACAUACCACUACAAGACAACUGAGCUCACUCACUGGAGGACAGACACUGGAGUACAAAACAUCCACUUGACUCACAAGAUAGGGAGGAUCAUUUUAGGUUGCAGGCUAAGGCAUUACUAGCUAGGAUUACUAUAUCCAACACGCUCCACAUGAAUUAACCUAGCUCAAGCAAGUGUGUAUAUGUUCUUCAAUACACUGUAGCCUCUGUAUUCAGAUUCUUGGAUUACUGAAUGCUUGCUGUCACAGUUUGCAGCCCAGCAAAGAUGCCCAGCUUAGCUAACAGUCUUCAAUUAUCAGAGCUGGAAAAACCCCCCAAGAUACAUAUUUCAUACUUCCAUGGAUCUUUUGAGGGAGGUGAGGGCAAGCUUCUCUCACCUAGUCUGAACAUCAGAAAGAACAAUCAUGCAAUAGCUUAUUGCAAUGCAUCCGAUAUCUGUAUUCAUUAUCUUUUUUCUUUUUAAUGACAGAAAGCCACAAAUAGCAUGUUUCACUUCACAAAAGCUUGGUGCCUAGGAACAACUUCAAGUGGCAACAGCAAUCAAGAUAUUCACGUCAACCUCAGGUAGAAGUCUUGUCUGGAUCUACGCAACCCACUUGACGGACAACAAAUCCCACAUGGUGAAAACUUUCAGAAGUUUAAGACACAAAACCCUAUUUCUUCAGUACCAAGUAGAAACAAUUAGAAUUUCAUGGAUAGUCAUUCAUUCUGACCCUGAAAUAGGCAGUAGACUGAUGCUUAGGGGUACCCACGGGGAUGUGGGAAGUCAGGGUCAAAUCUCUCAUCUGAACCAGGAACAUUAAGAUGACUCUCUCUCAGAUUCAACUCCUGCAAAAGCGUCCUCAUUUUGAGGACUCAUUCUAUCAAAAUAAACAUUUCAUUAAAGAUUUUUUUAAUCUUGAU